Molecule: ribosomal RNA, 253 nt
Filed under: uncultured bacterium
Lineage: Bacteria
Description: partial 16S ribosomal RNA
Rfam family: Bacterial small subunit ribosomal RNA
Source: RNAcentral
GACGUAGGGCGCGAGCGUUGUCCGGAUUUAUUGGGCGUAAAGAGCUCGUAGGCGGCUUGUCGCGUCGUCCGUGAAAACCUGCAGCUCAACUGCAGGCUUGCGGUCGAUACGGGCAGGCUGGAGUUCGGUAGGGGAGACUGGAAUUCCUGGUGUAGCGGUGAAAUGCGCAGAUAUCAGGAGGAACACCGAUGGCGAAGGCAGGUCUCUGGGCCACUACUGACGCUGAGAAGCGAAAGCAUGGGGAGCGAACAGG